This 403-nucleotide ribosomal RNA is filed under the name Verrucomicrobiota bacterium. RNAcentral's name for it is "Verrucomicrobia bacterium partial 16S ribosomal RNA". It matches the Rfam family "Bacterial small subunit ribosomal RNA", at positions 355 to 776 of the family's 1533-position model. Lineage: Bacteria; Pseudomonadati; Verrucomicrobiota. The record is from RNAcentral.
UGGGGAAUAUUGCACAAUGGAGGGAACUCUGAUGCAGCGACGCCGCGUGAACGAAGAAGGCUUUCGAGUCGUAAAGUUCUUUUAUAUGGGAAGAUAAUGACGGUACCAUAAGAAAAAGCCCCGGCUAACUACGUGCCAGCAGCCGCGGUAAUACGUAGGGGGCUAGCGUUGUCCGGAAUCACUGGGCGUAAAGGGUUCGCAGGCGGAAAUGCAAGUCAGGUGUAAAAGGCAGUAGCUUAACUACUGUAAGCAUUUGAAACUGCAUAUCUUAGGAAGAGUAGAGGUAAGUGGAAUUUUUAGUGUAGCGGUGAAAUGCGUAGAUAUUAAAAAGAAUACCGGUGGCGAAGGCGACUUACUGGGCUCAUUCUGACGCUGAGGAACGAAAGCGUGGGUAGCAAACAGG